Long non-coding RNA from Lytechinus variegatus (green sea urchin), 301 nucleotides. RefSeq lists it as uncharacterized. NCBI's taxonomy places the organism in Eukaryota, Metazoa, Echinodermata, Echinoidea, Temnopleuroida, Toxopneustidae. The record is from RefSeq and is a predicted model, not a curated record. The transcript is spliced from 2 exons.
CCCAAAACUGUUUCACCGGACUAAUGUAUAUGUUUUAACCUGCCACUUAAAUGGUAUCUGAAAUGUACUUUGUAUUUUAUUUUAAUUUCGUUGUUAUACCAGUAGCAGAAAAGGUGACGUUUGCUGGGAAAUAUUAUUCAGACAACUCCCGUCGAAUUCAUCACCAUCUCCUACGGUAUCCGUUGCUCCUCUCUUUGAUGAAUUCCUGCCUGCAUUCUGUUGUCAAUAGAAAAGGACGGUGUGCUUCGGGUAUUAAGCAUUCCAUUGGAUUAUCUGUGUAUGAAGGUGGACACUUAGGAUA